This is a long non-coding RNA of Astatotilapia calliptera (eastern happy), 5675 nucleotides long. The record is from Ensembl. Lineage: Eukaryota; Metazoa; Chordata; Actinopteri; Cichliformes; Cichlidae.
UGCAAAGUCAAAACACCACCUAGGAAUUCAUACAGUCCUGCACACAAGCCAUGAUUCCAUUAGUCUGCAGCCAGACCCUGAGGAAGACAAACAUAGUCAUGCAAGUCCUUUAACAGAAGAUAUAAUUACUAAAGAGACUUUUAAGGACUGAACUUCUUUUUAGCUAGAUUAGAAAUUAAUUUGCAUGCUUUGGUAAUUUUUCAUCUUCAGAAUGAUUGCAUUCAUCAGUAAGAUUGUUCUUUGUAACUGACAUCGAGAGAUAAGUUGUAGCUUUACAGAGGAAAAAGAGCAGAGUACCAACACGGAUCACCCUCAGCGCCACCAGUGCAGUCAUCCCAACCAGGACCCCAUCGACAGACUACCACCAGGAAAGCGAGAGGUCAUGGAGAAGUAUUUUAAACCUGUUCAGAGCCCAGCUGAGCUGGAUGAGCUCAAGCCACGGAAAAUCCACCAUCAUCGCCACCAUCACCUUCACCAUAGCCAAGACACUCAGUCACACAGGUACUCAAAGUUUGAUGACACUGACAGGAACACAGAUGACAGCCGAGGACAGCCUCGCCACCAUCAGCACAGUCACUAUCUCCAUGAAAGCCCUCGCCACGAUGCUCACUAUCGCCGUCAGUUUCACCACAGUGAAGAGGAUGAGAUCAUUUACGACCAUGACACCCCUGUAACUCUCUCAAGGGCUUCCUCUUCUUCCCUCUCAUCCUCAUCCUCUUCCUCCUGGUACACAGAGUCAAGCGCAAAUGAUCCUUUCACUCUUUCCCAUGCUGAGCGCCCACAGCAUUCUCUGUCCUGCUCCAAUAUCCCAGAUGUGCGCAUAGGUUUCCGGGAAGAUGAAUGCAGUGAGCCCAUUGUCUUCGCUACCGUCAAACACAGCAAAAAAGGCAAGCUGCUUCAUGAAAGCUCACAGCAAAGAGGGAACACUGGCUUUUCUGCUCUUGACAGAGGUCACAGUCGAAGCGAUGAAGCCUUUUUUCAGAGUAAUGAUAGUGGUGGAAGAGAACAAUCUAAGCAAAAUAACUAUGGGCCUUUGUAUAAGUCAGCUAGUUUGAACCGAUGUCUGGCUUUCAGUGAGGAAAACAUUCUUUUAGGGGUCUCCGGUGCCCCCAAGAGAGCAGUAUCUUCAAACCAGCUACCCAGCAAAGGGAUCCUCAAGAAGAAGGAGACUGAUACUGACAUUCGUAAGACUAAAUCAAUGGAGGUGUUGUCCCCAAGAGUUGCUAAAGAACAACGUCCUGGGCAGAAGGGUAAAGAAAUUACUCAAGCUAAUACAGAGCAAGCCAGGGCCAAUUUUCUGCAGGAGAAAUUACAGUUCUCUGCAUUUCUAGAUGAGAUUACAAAGAGCGUUAUAAGUCCAUCGUAUCUCACCAGCUUGGGUGUUAAUAAUAAUAAAACUCCUGCAAAAACAUCUGCCUCAGCCCCCACAUCUAACCCAGUUAAGCCUCAGCUCCCACCAAAAAAAACCAGAAAAGCCCCAGAGGAGAAGACGGGUCAGCAUCCCAAACUGGCCAGCAGACAGGAGAAAGCACCUUUUAGUAGUUCUCGAAAACACUCAGACUGCUCCAAUCCUGACAAACUGAUUUCAUGUGCCAUGAGGAACCACCACGGUAGCCCACCGCCUCGUCACCACCCGCACUCUGCCAGCCAAAGCCCACAGCACGGAAGCAACCGUAAGGACAGGAGGCCUACAUCAGGAGACAGAUUUGGCAGAGGUGGCCCUCACCUCACCGAUGAAACUAGCACCAGCCCUGAAACCAGUCAGUCCAAACAACUCCACCACCACCACCACCACCACCAAAAACAGCAGCAUAGCCAGCAUCCACAUAACCAGCACUUCCACCAACAGUCCUAUCUAGACUCUGGUCACCAAGAACCGAGCAACUCGCCUCCAACUUCAGCCCAAGGUGCAGAGGCAGGGGUCGGAUCUGAGUCUUCAUCCACAAAAUCAGAUUCAUCCAGGGCCAGGGACACAGCCUCCACAGCUACCAGCCACAGCUCAGAUCAGAGUGGUCGACAUCAGCCACAACAUGCUGGGCACUCUCAGCAGCACAGGGAUGUGCUGUGUGAGGCUGACCAUCUUCAGGCACUGCAGGAGGAGAAUGCCGAUCUCCACCAGAACUUGCUGCAGACAGUGGUUUGCAUUGAGAGCUUGGAGGCAGAGCUGCAGAGGACCAGAGACGAGCUCAGUCAUGUCAAGGAGAAAUACAAAAGCCUUCUGCAAACACAUACUGGGACCAAGCAGGCCAAUAACUUGCUGGGGGAGCACCUGCACAUAGCGUCCGAGAGCUUGAGCAGUGAAAGGAAGUACUUGCUUAAUCGUGUGUCCAACCUGAGCUCAGAGCUGGAAGACGCCCACAGGACCAUUGCAGCCCUGGAGAACAUUAAUGUGCCAUGCUUGAUAAAGGAACUACUGGAGAAGCAUUUUGAUUCCGCUGAGGCUGUACAGAAGUUUCUCACAACCUCUGCUGCAAACAGCCAUUCUGCCACCUCUCAGCAAACAGAUGGCCAGCCACACCCUCCUAAAGCAGACAAAGCAGCACAUGAUUGGCUGACUAAACCAGAGGCAGGUCCACAGAGGGUCACAGCUUUCACACCCUUUAAACAGAGUGUAACAGCAACAGGAAAUGAGUGCGGCCUCUCGGGUCAGCAUGAGCCGAGCCACAGCCUGCCUUUCUCUGUGGCUGAGAUCAGCACUGCUAUCUAUAAGAAAAUGGCUGCCAGUUAUGCUGCCAGGCCACAGCCUAUCUACCCCCAAAGCCAACAGCAGUCCUCUUUGGCCACUAAUCAUGCUGACACCCUUCCAGACCUCAGGCAGGGCCAUGUAGCUAGUGAUAACUGGGCCGGGAAGGAAGAGUUAAAGGUAACUCUUUUGGAGCAGGACACUGAUGAUGUGAACUCUGUGUCAGCCCAGCAGAUCCUGGAUGAUUUCAUGCAGCACCUGCAGUUACACAAGGAGGCUGGUGAAAGGAAGGAGCAACAGAGUGGGCAGAAGUGUAGGGCAGAAGUAACAGAGUGAAAAUGCCACAGGCACAGUGGACGCUCAUCUUAAUGCUUCGAAAUGUGCAUUUAUUCAUGUGUCUCAUGAAUAUCUGUCAGAUGGAAAUACUGUAUUUUGAAAAUGCUGUGGUUAAGAAAACUUGAACAUUAUGUUAUUUUAGGCUAUCUGUGGGCAACAAAGGAGGCCUUUGCAUAAUAGUCAGAAGAUUUUCAUACAUAAAAAGAAAGAAAGAGCCACAGCUACAUAAAAAACGGAGAAAAAUGGCAGUAAAAUAACAAAAUAACCAUUUAUUUUAUUAAAAAUAUGCUUUAUGUAUAAGUUCUGUAGUAUUAAUUUACUGUCUAUUUUCUUUUACCUUUUAGUUUUCUUCCAAAUUGAUAGUGCAGGCAAAAGGUCAUGGGGGUAGCUGGAGCCUUUCCUAGCAGAUAGGUCACCAGUCUGACGUAGCACUGACACAGAGAGACAACUAGGGCCAGUUUAGAAUCACCAGUUCACCUAACCCCACUAAUUGCACGUCGAACCUUCUCGCUAACCACCUCGUCACCAUGCUGCCCACUUUAUACAGACUACAGAAGUGUUUAAUUGUCUCUGAUAAUAGAUUAUUGACACUGAUGGGAUCAAAUGCGAUCAUUUUUAACAAAUUUAAAAAACAGUGAAAGACUGGGAAUUUAAAAGCCGGAUACCUCAAGGCCUUCUGCUGAGUCAACAAUGAAACUAUAUUCAGUGAAUGACUUUGAGUGACAUCGAGAAAACAACAUGAUUAAGGAAGCUAAUGCCCUUUUGGAACCCGCUUAAGUCUCGAGUCAAGGCAUCUCUUUCUUAAAGCAGCAGGUUAUUGUACCAUCAGUGUCACUGGAGACUGUUUUAAUCUACAUUUGUUCAUAAUAAUUCAACCAGACUCAGUUGUUCGUGUUUCUGCUAUAUAUUUGUGUAAAAAUAACUCUUCAGGGACUGCUUUGGAUUUUUCAAACAGUCUAAAUAGCCCUCAUGUGAAAACCUCUUAAAAUUAAUAAGUGUACAAUGAAAAAUACUAUUUUGAGUUUACUGUGCAUUGAUUGGUUUGUGUAAAUAUCCAGAGAUUCAGUGUAAAGGUCUUUAAAUCAUAAAAAGAAAGUCAAAUAUUAUGAUUCAGAAAUGUUUUCUUUGUACUAUUGCAAGGUCUUUACCUUACAAUGCAAAGUGCCUUGAGGCAACUGUUGUUGUGCUUUGGCACUAUAUGAAUAAAAUUGGAUUGAAUUGAAUUGUUGACACGGGAAAAUCCUUUCAAGCUGAUGUAACUGACAAAUGUGUACAGUUAAAAUACAAAGACAGCUAUUGUGAUGGUGUUGAUAAGCUUAACAGCAUGUGUACACCUGGAAUCGAUGUGUUCCUUUAAUUCUGUGCUUAGCAUUCUUCUGGUAUUAAUGUUGUUUUAAUCUAAAUCUCUCUCUACUUUUUGUCAUUAAAAUACUUCUUCUUUGUGUAUUUGUAUCUAUUCUACCAAUAAAGAUAGUUUUGUUGAUGCAGUAUAUCAGAUUACAAACAUUUGUUCAUUAUUGAUGAUUUCUUCCUCACUUUCUUGUUGUCAAAUUCAAAUAAUAUAUGGCAUGUUUUUAUAUGGCAAAAAACAAACAAACAAACAAACAAACAAACAAGCAAAAAAACCCAAAAAACAGUUGGAAGGUUGUGUUUUAAUCCCCGGCUUCUCCAGCCUGCAUGUCAAAGUGACCUUGGGCAAGAUAAUGAACUCCGUGUUGCAUUCAUUGAAAUCAGAGUUUAAGGAACAGAAAUGCAUCUGAAUGUGUGUGCUUCAAUGGGUGAAUGAGGCUUGUACUAAAAAGCACUUUGAGUGCUCAGUUAGAGAAGCCUUCAGUUAAUCCCAAAUGCAGCAGCAAGAGUACUGACAGGGACUAGAAAUAGAAAGCAUAUUUCUCCUAUACUGGUUUCUCUUCAUUGGCUCCCUGUUAAAUCCAGAAUUGAAUUCAAAAUCCUCACAUACAAAGUCUUAAAUAAUCAGGCCCCAUCAUAUUCUAAUGACCUUAUAGUACCAUAUCACCCCAUUUGAGCACCUCGCUCUUGCACUGCUGGCUGGGAGGCAGAGCCUUCAGCUUUCAGGCUCCUCUUCUAUGGAACCAGCUUCCUGUUUCGAUUCAGGAGAUGAACACCGUCUCUACUUUUAAGAUUAAGCUUAAAACUUUCCUCUUUGCUAAAGCAUAUAGUUAGGACUGGAUCAGGCGACCCUGAAUCCUCCCUUAGUUAUGCUGCAAUAGGUGUAGGCUUCUGGUGGGUUCCCAUGAUAUAUUUAAUAUUUCUUCUUCAUGUGUUAAUAGACCUCUCUGCAUUGAAUCAUACUUGCCUCUCUUCCACAACACGUCUUUAUCCUGUUUUCCUUCUCUCACCCCAACCGGUCGCAGCAGAUGGCCCCGCCCCUCCCUGAGCCUGGUUCUGCUGGAGCUUUCUUCCUGUUAAAAGGCAGUUUUUCCUUCCCACUGUCGCCAAAGUGCUUACUCAUAGGGGGUGAUAUGAUUUUGUUUUGUUUUUUCUGUAUGUAUUAUUGUAGAGAUACCUUACAAUGUAAAGCACCUUGAGGCAACUGUUGUUGUGAUUUGGUGCUGUAUAAAUAAAAUUGAAUUGAACUGAACUGAACUGAAUUGAAUUGAAUUGAAGAAAAGUGCUACAUGUAUGCUGCUGACAU